This 5052-nucleotide long non-coding RNA is filed under the name Sus scrofa (pig). RNAcentral describes it as "lncRNA (ENSSSCG00065035337.1)". Lineage: Eukaryota; Metazoa; Chordata; Mammalia; Artiodactyla; Suidae. The record is from RNAcentral.
CUGUGCACAUGGAGAGAGAGAGAGAGAUCCGGUGUCUUUUUCUCUUCUUACGAGUCCAUCCGCACUGUCAGAUGAGGGCUCUGCUCUUAUGACCAAAUUAUUUCAUGUUAAUUAUUUCUCUAAAAGGCCCUCUCUCCAGACGCAGAGGCAUGGGGCAUUAGGGGAACACAGUCUAUUCUGUAACAUUAUACCAAACACAGGAGAGGUUCAUGGAAGUGCCAUUUUGCUUCCUGGGUAGUCUUAUUACGCCCAUGCCACCAGCUCACGUGCACAAACUUCCCGUCUCUGCCAGUUGGACCUGGUCUUCCUUAUCUGCAAAAGUCUGCAGCAUUUCAGUUUUAAAGCUAAAACUGAUUUUAAAUAAGAGAUGCGUAAAAGUAUCUGAAUUCAGCCAAGAUCGUGUUAUUUUUGGCCACCUUUGACUAAAUAACAAGAGAACGAAUUUUGACUUCAUUUUGUAAAGCAAAAGAAAAAACUUUGCACACCCCACUAAAGAACCUUCACGCCAAGUUUCAGCCUGGAGCCCGUGUUGAAACCAGAUUGCGACGCCCUAAGAUGUGGACGUUUGCGAGACGUGUAGCAUUUUCCCCGUGCGGCCAGCGCCCACUGUCAGGUUUCCUUGCUUCACUGGGCGCAAGCUGAAGGAGACUGAGUGCGGCUGCGUAAUUCCAGACGCGUGAGACUGUGCUUCCCGGGCAGUCGGCGCUUUGCAGCGUUCGCUGGGAAGAUGAUGAUUUCUACCUGGACGUGAAGACGGUGACGGGCACGGGCCUCUCAAAACACGGCGCGGCGUGCGACGCCGAACCUUGAAACAAUGGCUGUCUUUCAGUUUUCCAGUCUUUCAGACCGUGCUCCUAACGUUCAGAGCUUUGCAGAUGAGGUAUAGCGUCCAGAUUCCAAACUUCAAAGGCUUGAAAAAUAAACUGCAAACUAGCAAACUUUUCGUUUUCCUUCCAUUAUUUUUGUAACCUUUCCUUUUAAACACGUUUUUUUCCCUUGCAUUUGCCAUUUGCAGAUAAAGUUAGUAGUAUUGAAAUGACUCAUUUAAAAAUAAAUUUUAAAUGGGCUAAACUUUCUGUGAGUUGUACCAAAUGACAUAAAACUGUACAUUCCAGACAUUUUAUAGUUUCUGCUUUCUUGUCAUAAUAUUUUGACAUCUUCUAGUGAGCUUCACACUAAAAAGGUACCUGGGAGUUCCCGUCGUGGUGCAGUGGUUAACGAAUCCGACUAGGAACCAUGAGGUUGCGGGUUCGGUCCCUGCCCUUGCUCGGUGGGUUAAGGAUCCGGCGUUGCUGUGAGCUGUGGUGUAGGUUGCAGAUGCGGCUUGGAUCCCGCGUUGCUGUGCUGCCAGCCUACACCACGGCCACAGCAACACGGGGCCUGAGCCGUAUCUGCCACCUACAGCACAGCUCAGGGCAAUGCCGGAUCCUUAACCCACUGAGCGAGGCCAGCGAUCGAACCCGCAACUUCAUGGUUCCCAGUCCGCCGUGCCACGACGGGACCUCCGAAUACUAAGCUGACAGGCGAGGAGGGCGAUGGUGUUGGGAGGUUAUGAUUCUGCAGGAGGGGAGGGACCGGAAGGGGCCGAGUUUACAGCAUCGGAAAAGGCGGGAGGGGUCACAAGGCGAAGGUUCUAGAGGGCCCCGCAGACCCUCAGGAGCAGCUGGAGAUGAUGCGUCGGGACUGGCUGGAGGGAAGCCAAAUCUUGACCUUCCGUAUCCUUCGCUGCCCUUCCCCGUUCUAAACACGCUUCCAGGUUCUGAGGAACAUAAACCCGGUCCCCGCCCUGCCCUCUCUCUCUUGGGAGAGAGAAGGAGACUGAAUCCCAGGGAACACGUGGCUGGAGACGGGAAGAAAGCGCAAACCAACAGGGCCCAGCCAGCCCCGUCCCGGGGGAGCGGCUGCGGCUCCGGGGGGUUAACCCUCCGCGCACCGCCCCUGCCUGCAGGCCCAGGAGCGGGGCUUUGAGACCCGCAGCCCCAGGGCAGAGCAGGCGAGGCUUGUGCCUGCUGCAUAAACACUGUGCGAUUCACAUUCACGGCUCCGAGGCCUGCCGCUGGGCGGCUCGGCCGUAUUUCACACACACGAAUGUAAACGCCUCUUUCAUUCACAGCCAUCAUUUCUGGGAAGAAACAGAUCCUCUCUGAGGCUCGGAGGAGAGAGGAAUUUCCAAGGUUUGAGGGCCCCGGUUGCAAUUUCUUAAUUUAAAUGAGGAUACCUGAAAAUAAUUCAAGGUGCCUUAGAAAAGCCCAGACCAUUUUUGCGUCAUUUAAAAUGUGUAAGAGCUAAUGAUCAAAGGAAAAAAUAUCCAGUUUUUAUGUAACCGUAUCUCACACCUGAAUGGCAUCUGCUUAAAUAUUUACAAACAUGGCGCAAAGUACAAAUGAGAGGCCCUUUUUGAGCCCAGAUCUUUCCAGUCCCUUCCUACAAAAAGGGAGUCACAAGUGUGAGUCAUGGAAAGACCAUCAAAAUAUUCGUCGUUAUUUCCUUCAAACGAAAGGAACCAAGUAUUUUAAGAUUUUAAAAGUUCUCUGUGAAUUGCUUAUCAAUGUUUGAAGAAAGGAAAUAUGUGAUAAAUUUUCUCAAAGUAUUUUAAAAAUAAAUAUGCGUAAGUAUCUAAAUUAGGUACCAAGUGUCUCCAACUGUAUCUCAGGAUGUUGAACCGGAAGGCUCAGCUGGGAGGUGCGGUGGUGAGAUGCCCGGGCUGGAACUGUGCCCAAGGGGCAUGGGGCCUUCUCCUGCUGGCCACUUGCUGUCUUCGAGUUCCCACGAAGCCCGCUGCGGUGGAGAGACUAACCCCCGCCCCAGCCUGCCCCAGACACAGAGGGUCGGCGGAAGGCAGCAGUUGCCGUCCCUGAGCUCCUGAAUCCUCUUUUUGCUGAUCUCGCGCCCGUCAUAGUCAUCAAUAAGGCUCCCUCACCCUGGGUGGCUAGCGUCUGGCCUCACAUCCCCCAGACCCUCGCACUGCAGGGUGGGUGCUCAGCGAGGGCGGCUGGAGACGUGGCUCGGCACCCCGCACUGGCAUACCUGCCUGCUGAGGCCGCAUCUGGACAGUCGAGAGAAGGUGACCCCUGCCUCGCUCUCGGAUACAGAGAUGUUCUCUCUUCCACCGAGAGGAUUUCAGGGUCAACAUUCUAGAAGAGGCUGUGGAAGAGGCGGUAGAGAGCUAGGUCUUGAAGCCGUGUUGGAAAAGCCUGUCCACUGAAUUUCUCUGAGGUCGUGUUGGGUUUGGGGCAGGUGCCCACUGGGCACCUCUCUUGCCAGAUAAGCCAGCACGUGGUAGCUUGAAAUUGGCCACGCUUGAGAUUGGCCACUAAUGCCUUUACACCAUGUAUGCUGGCAAAUGCUGUCACUCUCUCCUCCACCCACCCAGCCGGGCUUGGGGAUAUUGACCAUGACUCCAGCAGAGCAGUUAAAGCCAUUCGAAGCCAAUGCCUUGGUGGUACCUGUCUCUUAACCGCUUCCUAAAAUGCUAACCUUGCCUCAAUUUUCUCUUUUUUCUUGCAUCUUCAUUUUGGUGUAGAUUCCCCUCCAGACAAAGCCACUGCUCCCUUUGCAAUUUUGCCCAUUCUGUCUCUCUUGUAAAAUCAUUUGCCUCCUGAAUCUCUUCCCAGAAAGCUCCCCAAUUCUUGCCUUGUCUCAGCCCGGCAGGCUUGGAAGCCCGCAACUUUGCCUAUAUUUACAUCCCCCUCGUUCAACAGGUAGGAGAAUGUUUUGCUUUCGUGUGCCCUCCAACACUGGAGUAUGAUGGAGAGACUAAAUAACGUAGCUCUAAAAGCCAAGUGAUAUGAUACAAGUAUGGAUGAGAGUCAGCUUACAGAAAGAAAAAGUCGAUACCCCAUCGGCAUUGUGUUACCUGUUUUGUGUGUGUUUGUUUUUUGUCCUUAUGUGUAAUCCAGAUUUUUCUCUUACAAAAUAAGAUUGAACAAAAGAAAUGUGACCACUGUAGGUGUCUGUAAUAGGAGAAGAUCGUGAGACCCUGAGUGAGCAUUGCGCCUUGGCUGGCUUUGGAAAACUCAUGGGCAAAUGUGGCUUAGAAAAGGAUGUUAUUUCUAGAUACCGCUUGGGGCUCCUCUCUUAUUAUUCUUUAUCUCAGUGACUGGGCUUACCACGUAAGUUCUGAAUGACUGAUAAAAAGUCCUCAGCAAAAAUCCUCUCGUAAGUGUGGUACAUAUUUAGAAACUAAAAUGCUAGGCCAGUGGUUCUCAAUAUGCGUCCCUGACCAGCAAUGCCAUGGCCACGGGGGAGCGCGUUAGACAUGCAGAUUCCCCGGCUGCACCUCGCGUCUCCUGAAUCAGAAGCUCUGAUGGAGGGCAGGGCCUGUGAUCUUUGUUUUUCGCAAUCCGCCAGGUGAUUGAUGCCUGCUGGUCUUGAGCAUCACUCCUCUGGGCUCUGGCCACAGAGUUGAUUGCCAAUGCAGUGCUUCUUUUUAUCGGAAAUGGGAUUUAGAGUAGUAAGAUGUGCGUAGGUAUUUAUGAUAAAAUGCGGAAGUGUUUACUAUUUCUGUGCCUGAGGCAAGCUACUAAGUUUUCUUACCAUUAAGUGGGAGUAAUAACAGUAUAUAAUUAAAAGACACUUUGUGUGAAAACAUAAAAUUAUGCAUUGUUAUGUAUUUAACAUGAAUAAUAAUAAUAAUAAUACUACUAUCAACAAUAGCCAACAAUAUAUAGAAGAUACUAGGUUGGGAAAGGGCAUCAUUUCCUACGUUAUUUGUCGAUUUCCAAUCAAAGAGAGCAGGUGAGAAAUUUCCUUUACAAGUUUAAUGGCAGGGAAAGUAUUUUAUUAUUCUUCAGGAAAAAAGUGCUGUCAUUCAUUUCUGUUAAUGAGAAUUAGGUAAUUUUUUAUGUGUUCAGUUUUACUUUGGUUACUGGGAUACUCAAGGCCUCAUUUGAUACUCAAUCCCAUCAAUUAUUUAAGGCUUCUUGUGCAGUAUAUUUCCCUCUCCUUUUUCAUGGUUCUUGUUAUCCAUUUUUUAAAGAUUUACCUUAUUUUUUAUAUGUUGCUACUAUAAGCUCCCUCACACUUUUUUUUUCCCUCGCCCAAGUGAAAAAU